Molecule: transfer RNA, 83 nt
Filed under: Clostridia bacterium
Lineage: Bacteria; Bacillati; Bacillota; Clostridia
Description: tRNA-Leu
Rfam family: tRNA
About the family: Transfer RNA (tRNA) molecules are approximately 80 nucleotides in length. Their secondary structure includes four short double-helical elements and three loops (D, anti-codon, and T loops).
Source: RNAcentral
GCGGGUAUGGCGGAAUUGGCAGACGCGUCGGAUUUAGGUUCCGAUGGGCAACCGUGCAGGUUCAAGUCCUGUUACCCGUACCA